CUACACAUGCAGUCGAGCGGUAACAGGGGAAGCUUGCUUCUCGCUGACGAGCGGCGGACGGGUGAGUAAUGUAUGGGGAUCUGCCCGAUAGAGGGGGAUAACUACUGGAAACGGUAGCUAAUACCGCAUAAUCUCUCAGGAGCAAAGCAGGGGAACUUCGGUCCUUGCGCUAUCGGAUGAACCCAUAUGGGAUUAGCUAGUAGGUGAGGUAAUGGCUCACCUAGGCGACAAUCCCUAUCUGGUCUGAGAGGAUGAUCACCCACACUGGGACUGAGACACGGCCCACACUCCUACGGGAGGCAGCAGUGGGGAAUAUUGCACAAUGGGCGCAAGCCUGAUGCACCCAUGCCGCGUGUAUGAAAAAAGCCCUAUGGUUGUAAAGUACUUUCAGUCGGGAGGAAGGCGUUGAUGCUAAUAUCAUCAACGAUUGACGUUACCGACAGAAAAAACACCGGCUAACUCCGUGCCAGCAGCCGCGGUAAUACGGAGGGUGCAAGCGUUAAUCGGAAUUACUGGGCGUAAAGCGCACGCAGGCGGUUGAUUAAGUUAGAUGUGAAAUCCCCGGGCUUAACCUGGGAAUGGCAUCUAAGACUGGUCAGCUAGAGUCUUGUAGAGGGGGGUAGAAUUCCAUGUGUAGCGGUGAAAUGCGUAUAGAUGUGGAGGAAUACCGGUGGCGAAGGCGGCCCCCCUGGACAAAGACUGACGCUCACGGUGCGAAAGCGUGUGGGAGCAAACAGGAUUAUAUACCCUGGUAGUCCACGCUGUAAACGAUGUCUAUUUGAAGGUUGUUCCCUAGAGGAGUGGCUUUCGGAGCUAACGCGUUAAAUCGACCGCCCUGGGGAGUACGGCCGCAAGGUUAAAACUAACAUGAAUUGACGGGGGGCCCGCACAAGCGGUGGAGCAUGUGUUUUAUUUCGAUGCAACGCGAAGAGCCUUACCUACUCUUGACAUCCACAGAAUUUAGCAGAGAUGCUUUAGUGCCUUCGGGAACUCUGAGACAGGUGCUGCAUGGCUGUCGUCAGCUCGUGUUGUGAAAUGUUGGGUUAAGUUCCGCACCGGGCGCAACCCUUAUCCUUUGUUGGCAGCGAUUCGG
RNAcentral lists this ribosomal RNA (1093 nucleotides) under Providencia rettgeri. RNAcentral's name for it is "bacterial SSU rRNA". It matches the Rfam family "Bacterial small subunit ribosomal RNA", at positions 49 to 1134 of the family's 1533-position model. Lineage: Bacteria; Pseudomonadati; Pseudomonadota; Gammaproteobacteria; Enterobacterales; Morganellaceae. The record is from RNAcentral.